CACAAUCCUUGUGUCUCCGAAUGAGACUUUGACGCAAUAUAAUAUUCAUGGGCUCGGUUUAGUCACUGGCGGGAUGUUGUAAUUGCACACUUACGGAACUUCUCAUUUGACGGUGUAGACCGCGUUCCGUAGCUGCAUGUCCUUUUCAUUGUUCCUGAGUUCAACCAGCACGAAUCGUCAAUCGAGACUGUGUUAGCCAUUGUUUUAUAUUCUGAUCGGCCGUAUAAUGUCUCACGAACACUAAAGGCCAGUUUUCCAGUGCACGGCUUUGGUUUAAACUUAAAUUAACCGCUAGAGCUAGUCAAUUCAAACGCAGUUUACGUGAUCCUAAGUUUAAACUUGCACUGAAAAACUAACCCUAAAAGUGCAGCAUCAAAGAAUUCGCCUAACCAUAUUAGAAGCAAUCGCCAUAACCGCGAAAGAAAAUACCGCAAAGAAUUUACAAGGCAAAAAAACAAUAGAAAAACAGCUCAAAUUGGACCAUCCCUUCUCAAGAUAUACGCCGCCUGACGUACGCACAUAUAUGUAUUUGCAUACAAAUAUUUAUUUUUAGUAACAAUCAGAGUUUAUAUUAGAUGUAAAUAAGCUGGUUUUAAUUAAAUAAUUAAAGCAAAUACUACCGUA
This is a long non-coding RNA of Rhagoletis pomonella (apple maggot), 624 nucleotides long. RefSeq lists it as uncharacterized. The transcript is spliced from 2 exons. NCBI's taxonomy places the organism in Eukaryota, Metazoa, Arthropoda, Insecta, Diptera, Tephritidae. The record is from RefSeq and is a predicted model, not a curated record.